GAUGCACGCUGGCGGCGUGCCUAAUACAUGCAAGUCGAGCGAACAGACGAGGAGCUUGCUCCUCUGACGUUAGCGGCGGACGGGUGAGUAACACGUGGAUAACCUACCUAUAAGACUGGGAUAACUUCGGGAAACCGGAGCUAAUACCGGAUAACAUGUUGAACCGCAUGGUUCAACAGUGAAAGACGGUCUUGCUGUCACUUAUAGAUGGAUCCGCGCCGCAUUAGCUAGUUGGUAAGGUAACGGCUUACCAAGGCAACGAUGCGUAGCCGACCUGAGAGGGUGAUCGGCCACACUGGAACUGAGACACGGUCCAGACUCCUACGGGAGGCAGCAGUAGGGAAUCUUCCGCAAUGGGCGAAAGCCUGACGUAGCAACGCCGCGUGAGUGAAGAAGGUCUUCGGAUCGUAAAACUCUGUUAUUAGGGAAGAACAAAUGUGUAAGUAACUAUGCACGUCUUGACGGUACCUAAUCAGAAAGCCACGGCUAACUACGUG
This 497-nucleotide ribosomal RNA is filed under the name uncultured bacterium. Its description in RNAcentral is "partial 16S ribosomal RNA". It matches the Rfam family "Bacterial small subunit ribosomal RNA", at positions 28 to 507 of the family's 1533-position model. The record is from RNAcentral.